GUAAUCCGACAGGGGAGCGCACAAGCGCUGAGAGUGCGGGCGACCGCAGACCCUCGUACCUGAUCUGGGUAAUGCCAGCGCAGGAAGCUCGGUCAUCUCUUAUC
This 104-nucleotide non-coding RNA is filed under the name Actinoplanes missouriensis. Its description in RNAcentral is "TPP sequence". It matches the Rfam family "TPP riboswitch aptamer (THI element)". From Rfam's summary of the family: Vitamin B(1) in its active form thiamin pyrophosphate (TPP) is an essential coenzyme that is synthesised by coupling of pyrimidine and thiazole moieties in bacteria. Lineage: Bacteria; Bacillati; Actinomycetota; Actinomycetes; Micromonosporales; Micromonosporaceae. The record is from RNAcentral. RNAcentral also lists the same sequence under 1 other name.